This 485-nucleotide ribosomal RNA is filed under the name uncultured bacterium. RNAcentral's name for it is "partial 16S ribosomal RNA". It matches the Rfam family "Bacterial small subunit ribosomal RNA", at positions 29 to 507 of the family's 1533-position model. The record is from RNAcentral.
AUUGAACGCUGGCGGCAUGCCUUACACAUGCAAGUCGAACGGCAGCACGGGUGCUUGCACCUGGUGGCGAGUGGCGAACGGGUGAGUAAUACAUCGGAACAUGUCCUGUAGUGGGGGAUAGCCCGGCGAAAGCCGGAUUAAUACCGCAUACGAUCUACGGAUGAAAGCGGGGGACCUUCGGGCCUCGCGCUAUAGGGUUGGCCGAUGGCUGAUUAGCUAGUUGGUGGGGUAAAGGCCUACCAAGGCGACGAUCAGUAGCUGGUCUGAGAGGACGACCAGCAAAACUGGGACUGAGACACGGCCCAGACCCCUACGGAAGGCAGCGGUGGGAAAUUUUGGACAAUGGGCGAAAGCCUGAUCCAGCAAUGCGGCGGGUGGGAAGAAGGCCUUCGGGUUGUAAAGCACUUUUGUCCGGAAAGAAAUCCUUGGCCCUAAUACGGCCGGGGAUGACGGUACCGGAAGAAUAAGCACCGGCUAACUACGUG